Molecule: long non-coding RNA, 28969 nt
Filed under: Malus domestica (apple)
Lineage: Eukaryota; Viridiplantae; Streptophyta; Magnoliopsida; Rosales; Rosaceae
Description: long non-coding RNA (MDOM_LNC017637)
Source: RNAcentral
UGGGUAUUUUCUCUUCUCAUCUAUUUUCCAUCUCCGUCUUCAUUAAAUUAAUUACUUCAUGAACUCAUUAGUGUAAUGCAAACUUCAAAUAAACGAGCUGGACCAAUCAGUUGGUACUAAUAGUGUGCAACUGUGAUUGUUUCGAGGUAACUAUCCAUCAAUUAAGUUUUCUCACAUUUGAUGUUUCUUAAUAAUUUUCCAGUUUUCAACUUCGCCACCAACGCACACGAUGUACAAGAAGUACCCAAAGCAUCUUUCGACUCAUGCAGUUCCGAAAACCCAAUUGGCACAGCCAUCACAACUGGCCCAGCAAACAUCACUCUCACCUCCGCAGGCGACCACUACUACAUCUGCACUUAUGGCCGCCAUUGCCAGUCGGGACAGAAACUAGCCAUCACCGUCUCAGCUGCCUCCCCAGGUGCCGCACCUUCUGUGCCGCCACCGCCCUCUACAACUAACACCCCUCCAACUACCCCUUCCCCCACAUCAAACGACCCUGCUGCUUGUGAACCUGUCCCGGCUCCAUCGCCUUCCAUGAGUGGAGUACCCACCGUGAACACCACCCCUGGGUCGCUGCCUCCGUUGGGUUCUUCUUCACAUGUUGUUUUAGCUAGCUUCGUUUUAUCCUCCUUGGCUCUUGUCGUGGGUUUGUUCUUUUAGGUGCAGUAGACAUCCGCAUUUGGUCAUCCAAUAUUUUUUUGGGGUCUUUUGAUAUGGGUCCAAUUGGACUAAAAAUUGGACCUAUUUCAAAAGAUGGGCUAUAAUUGGGUCUCUUUCAAAUUUUUCCUAUUUUUUUUUAUUUUUUAUAUAUUUUCUUUCUUGAUAGGGCAGGGUAAAUCGUUAUUUAUUUUAAUCUCUUUUUUAUUUUUGUAUCGGUUUUGUAUAACAGAACAGUGAUGAUUUUUUGGAGUGUGCUAUUAAUAAAGGAAUUCUUGUAGUUGAAAAUAUUGUUAUGCACUAUGUUGGAACUUCGAACGUUAAACUUGUCUGUAUGGUGUUAAAAAAAAUCAUUAUACAAAAUACAAAAAAAAACGAGUGUAAAAUGUCUUUGAUACCUUGGUUUUUAAGAACAAACUCAUAAAAUAAAAAUAAAAACUAAAGACAAUAUUUAGUUUUAGUAAAACAUCAAGCAAGACAUGUACACUUAAUUAUUAAACAAAAUUACUGUUUAAGAAGAAAGUUCAUAUACACAAGCACCAAUAUUACCAUGAUGGUCACACCUAUCGUCUUACUCUUAACUGCUAUUGCUGUCACUAUUUUCUCAACUCCCACUAUUCAUUUUACAAAAUACAAAAAACGAGUGUAAAAUGUCUUUGAUGAAGAAAUUAGGGUUUUACUAUAAAAUCAAUUGAUAAUAUGGAAAAUAGCUCAAUAUCUUAUCAGCCCUUGCCUUGGUCUACACCUCAUCGGUGUGGGUCAUUUUGUCCUCACAUUAUUAACUCUCAAUAGGCCCCCUUAUGUGUGACUAAUUUUUAAGCCUACAUGUGGACAACAAAUUGGGUGAUGUGUGAAAAUGUGCGGCCCUUGAGCUUUCACAUAAGGGUCAACUUGACUUUGAUACCAUGAAAAAGUCGGUGUUCUACCAUAAACCAAUUGACAAUAUCAAGAGUAGCCCAACAUCUUAUAAGCCUUUGCAUUGAUCUAUCCCACUGAUGUGGGACAUUUUGUCCUCACAUCAUCAACUCUCAACAUUUGAUAUGUUGGUUUUUAAGAACAAACUCAUAAAUGGAAAAAACCAAAGACAAUACUUAGUUUUAGUAAAACAUCAAGCAAGACAUACUUAGUUAUUAAACGUUAUUGUUUAAAAAAAGAAGAAAAAAAGAAGAAGAAAGUUCAUAUUCACCACCACCAUAGUUAUUUAGUACUACGGUUUAGUGGUAUUCCUCUUUAUUGGUAAGUGAGAGGUCUUAAGUUCGAUUCUUGCCAAAGACGAAUUUGAACCAUAUUAUUGCUAGCCCAUUGUGAGGCUUAACCCAUUCUCCCACCCCUUAGUGUAGAUAAUAUCGUUGUUCAAAAGAAAAGAAGAAGAAAGUUCGUAUAGACACCACCACCAUAUAUAUUCACCAUAUUCGUCAACCUAACAUCUUAACUGCUAUUGCUGUCACUACCAUUAUUAUCUCAACUACCACAAUCCCCACCACUAUCUCACCACCGCCUUCACCAUAUCUCCGUCGCUAUCAUCCACACCACCUCUCAACCACCAUUGUUGCCACUACCAUUCUUCGCCACCAUCAUCACCGGUGAUGUGAGCAUUCCUACUACCAUUGCCCCUCCCAUUCAUGGACGGAGUUAGAGUUUUUUUUAGUGGAAGAGACCUUAACAUCUACUUAUACUUAAGAAAAAAAAAAUUAUCAUAAUAAAAUAUCGUCUAUAAUUUCAUUUGCUUUUUCUUUUUCCUUAAACUGCACAAAGCCACAACUUCACAACUUGGAGAAAUGCUUUUACAAUGAUGGGCUAUUUCAGAAUAUAAACUGAAAGUAGUGCAAUUAUGGCAAGUUCAAUCUCCACAUGUCUUUUUAUAUGUGUUUCAUUAAAAGGAGCAUAAAUAAUAUAAUCAAUAUGUUAUUUGCAUGUCACUUAGUACUAUGGUCUGGUAGUAUCCUCUUCACUUGGAAAUGAGAAGUAUUAGGUUUGAAUCUCGUGAUGACGAAUUCGAUAUCAAAUUAGGUUGUCCAUUGUGUGGCUUUGUCGAAUUCUCUUUUUCCCUUAGUGUAAAAAUAUCGAUGUACUAAAAAAAAAUUUAUUUGCAUUGCACCUUCUAUAAUAUCAUAAUUUUUUUUUCUCACUAAACUUAGGUGCCUCCAGUGAUCCUUAGCUGCCACCAUUCAUGUCCCCACCCCGCUAUUAUCACCACUCAUAUCCCACCAUUAUUGUUACCACCACCACUGUUUCUAAUUGCACAACCCUCGUUGCAAUCAUCUCCACCACCAUCCCAUCAUCUUAAAAUAUAUAUUACAAAACAUUAUCAUCAAACACGAAUUUCUUUUAUUGACAUUUAUAUAUCGAUAAACAAAGACGUCUAAUGUCUUCCUUGUCCAAAUAUAAUUCCCAGAUUAAACUCCUAGACGAAUUCUCGAUGUCUUUUUACUGCUACAUUUUCAGUUGGCUGGACGGGAGCUGGGCCAUGUCACCUACUACUUUAACGGGCUUUGUUUGUGUUUGAAUUUUUUAUCCUGUAAGCUGAAUGGAAAGACAUGAUAUGAUGUGUUAAAAUAAUGAGUUAACACGAACCAACAUCACGACCCAUUUGUCAGGUCCAUGUAGAGGAAAAUGUGAUUUGACCAAAUUUAUUGUUGUUAAAAAUUAAAAUCUCCGCGCUUUUGAAGAUUACAAUAUUGAAAUAGGAAUGUAAGUUUUCCUAGUUAUGGAAUCCCUUUCUAUUGAGUGAUCUCUCAAAAAACUUAUUUGAUGAGCAUAGGUACAUUUUGAAGAAAUUUAAUUUGUUUUAUGGUGGAAUUUUAUCUGAGUAUGUUGUCAUGUGUAAGAAAGCCCAACAGCCUGGCGUGCUUCAGGUCAUCCGAUUUGUGUUGUCCAUGUGUUAUACUUGAAAAUUUGCCAUCCAUAAGGUGUUAUCCCACAUUGGAAAAAAGAAGACCUUGCAUGUGCUUAUAAGCAAGUUAGGCUAUUCCCAUACACCUCCUAUUCAUUUUACCUCAACUUCUUCACAUUCUACAUUGUAUUGCAAUGAUUCAAACAAAUUAUUUUUCAAAUUGUUGUUGAAAAUUUGUUAGUUUGUUCAGUGAGCGUGGAGGGCCAAAACUGUUAGUUUAAAACUCGGUAGAAGUUGGUUAAAAGGGAAGCAUUGUAUCAGAAAGCUUGUUCAUUUGUUGUAGAUUGAUCUUUCGUAAUAAUUUCUAUUUUUUUUUUUUUACAUAAGAGUGAAAAUUGAAGCCAAGGAAAGCUCCAAAAUCCUGGAAUUUGGAAGUUUAGGCGGGUCCCCCAAGUUUAUCACGUUAGACUAUACGACCAUGUACAUCACAAGAAUUCUUCAACCCGAUAAUAAUUAGGUUAUUACUUUAAGAACCUACUAAUGAGAGAAAGUCGAGCAUCAUUAAACAGCAAAAAGAAAAAGAGAACAAGUCUUUUCAUGAAAUGUAGUAUGAUAUGAAAGAAGGUUGGAACUUUCCACUUUGGGUCUCGGUACAACAUAAUAGACUAGAAUAGUCUAACAUGCACCAGAAAUCAAAGUUAAGAUGACCGACUUCCCAUGCAUCUUCUUAUUGUUGUUCAAGGCAGCCGUGUCUAAGACUCUACCAAGUCUUGCUUUUUCAUUACACUCUUCAGCUUUCCCUACCUCUCUAUUUAUAGGCUUCAAUUCAUGUAUCCUUGCCAUACACUCUUAUCAGCGAUUACCUAAAACAAAUCAAUUUGCUUUAGUAAUCACAGCCUCCUACACAAUUUUCCUAGAGAUAUAGAGAGAAACAGAGCUAGAUAGAUGGAGAGCAAGAUGGUGAUUGUUUUCGGUGUAGUUGUGGCUGUGUUCCUGCAAAAUGUUGCAGCACAGACGGGACAUGUGGUGGGAGGAAGCAUAGGUUGGACCAUCCCUCAAUCUGGUGAACAAGAGUAUGUCACUUGGGCUGCAAGUAACAAGUUCGUUGUUGGUGAUACUCUCAGUAAGAUUCGCUUCUCUUCUGAUUUCCAUCGUCUUCUUCAUUAAGUUAAUAACUUCGUGAACUCAUUAGUGUAACACUCUUCUUCAAAUGAACCAGCUAGACAGACCCAGUUAGGACUCCGCAUUUACUGAUCACAUUAAUACAUAUAUAUAUAUAUAUAUGUAUAUUUGAAGUGAAUCCACGAGUAUUUCUGUAAAAUAAGAGCACAUGAUCGACAAUAAUUAUCAAAUAAAGUUUCAAUUAAUUUCCUCUAGCCUUGAAAUUAUUCCAAGGUAAACUAUCCAUCACUCAUGUUUCUCACAUUUGAUGUUUCUUAAUUAUGUCUCCAGUUUUCAACUUCGCCACCAACGCACACGAUGUACAAGAAGUACCCAAAGCAUCAUUCGACUCAUGCAGUUCGGAAAACCCAAUUGGCACGGCUAUCACAACUGGCCCAGCAAACAUCACUCUCACCUCUUCAGGCGACCACUACUACAUCUGCACUUAUGGCCGUCAUUGCCAGUCGGGCCAGAAACUAGCCAUCACCGUCUCAGCUGCCUCCCCAGGUGCCGCACCUUCUGUACCACCACCACCCUCUACUACUAACACCCCUCCAACUAGCCCUUCCCCUACAUCAAAUGACCCUGCUGCUUGCGCACCAGUCCCAGUUUCAUCACCAUCCAUGAAUGGAGGAGUACCCACCGUGAACAUCACCCCGGGGUCGCCGCCUCCGCUGGGCUCUUCUUCACCUGCUGUUUUGGCUAGUUUCUCUUUGUCGGCCGCUGCUCUUAUCGUGGGUUUGCUCUUUUAGUUACCAUGAAGACAUCGCCGGUCCUAAUUAAUUACUAUAUUGGUGAUCCAACCUUUUUUAUAUUGUCUAUCUUGAUAGUACAAAAGUAAAUGGAAUUUGAUCUUAGUCUCUCUUUUGUUCUAAAUAAUUUUGUAUCUGUUUCUUAUAACGAACCCGUACAGGGUGAUUUUUUUUAGUAUACUAUAAAUAAAGGAAUUCGUUUGUUCAAAAUUCUGUUCUGCAAUGAAGAAAGAAGGAAUGUUUUUCUGCCAAAUGGUCCUAUAGUCAAUGCUAAUCUUAUGGCACAUGUAAUAUGAUCGUCCAUUUAACUCUUAGAACUUUUUUGUGAACGUCUGUCCUCUCAAUUUCGUAUCCAUAACAUACAUGCACAAAAAGAGAUAAAGUUCACAUGUAAUGUAAACUCUCAUAAUAAGCACGUCCACCUUUCCUUUCAUGGAUUUGAUCUUGAAAUUGUCUCUACAAACUGUAAUGAAAAUAAAAAUUCCCGAAGUAUUGUGACAUCAUGUGCUUCGGACCUCAAGUUUGAGAUGUAAGCGUACAACAAGGGACUAACAGAAGUUUUUGAACAUAAUUUGGUUAAACCCAUGAACUUUUUGAUCAAUAAAGCAGCAAGAAGAGAACAUUAAAGAAUUUCUAUUCGUCACAAAGAUUCCGUUAAUCGUCUCAGUUCCUAGAGCUUUUAAGGAGAAAGCUUUGAUAAUCUCUUCGCUGUUUCGAAAACUUCUGCAAAUUGUGAGGGGGAUCUGAAACCAUCAUUUGCCGUAGUAAUAAAUUCUCCAACAUAAAGGUAAAUAUAUAGGGCUACAAAAUGUGCUAAGAAAUAUGAAAUACAAUAAAGAAUUAGAAUAGGACUAUACAAUGGGUAAUAAGUUAGGCCAUCUCUAACCGAAAAUGCUAAACAUAGCCUUAUUCAGAAUUAUAGUCCUGCAAAAAAAUAUUUUUAAAUGAAUAGUAUCAGAACAUACUCAUAUACUAUCCAAUCCAACCGAAUGGAAUAAAACAUAGUCUCCUCAAUAAUUUAUUAGUUUUAAGUUUGUACCUUAAAUUUAUUAGUUAAUUUAAUUAAACUAUCGUUGGAUAUUUCAAAUAUAACAGUUAAAUUUGAAUAAAUUAUUACAAAUGAGGAAUUGGGCUCCAAAAAAAGGGCUAAAGCCAUCUCCAAUGGAGAGGGUUAAAUGGCUAAAGGGCCAAAAAAUGGCCUGAUUUGAAUAAAAUCCAACUCUAACCAAAGGCUAAGCUAAAAAUUAAUAGAGCCCACCAGGCCGAAACAUAGUCAAAAGGGCAUCAGGCUGGCCAAGUUUGACUUGACAACCGGCCGUUUGCUGGGCCAAGCAGCAAAUCCUGAGGCCACUUUUGGAAGAAUCCAACGGCUACAAAUUAUAUGGGCAUCAGGCUGGCCAAGUUUGGCCUGAUAGCCAGCCUUUUGUUGAACCUAGCAGCAAAUCCUGAUGCCACUUUUGGAAGAAUCCAACGGCUACAAAUUAUAUUAUACAUCUUUCAAGAAUAUGGAUGUCAUGUCUGGGAGAUACGUAUACGACCAUUAAUAAAAAACUUGGUCUGUUAUUAUAAUCAUGAGGAUUAAUAAUUAAUCUUUUAUAUUAUUACUGAUAAAUUGUUGAAAUUCUUGUGAAAAAUCUUUUUAAGUGUCAUUUAGUGAAAGAAGUUGUCAUUUGCAGGUGGUCCUUUAUCACAGUUGUGAAGCCUAAAAUAAUUCCAAAAUUUUUUAAAGGCGACGCGUGAACUUUUGCUCAAGAAAGACAAGUUGCCCUCAAUAAAUGGGCAUGCUUCUCAAAUGCUCCCACGCGCAGCUCACACCCCUAAAGGUCCCAACAGCUAAAUACGAUUGCCCACAGCUCACAUGCCCUUGGCAAGGAAAAUUCAAAGCAUUAAAGAUAAGAAUUAAUUACCUAAAUCUUAUCUUUAAUACAUUCCCAAUUAAAGAUUGACUCUAAUCAGGUAAGUAAUCCCAUUUAAAAUCAAUUAGGGAUAAUUACUCCAUAUCUCAAGAUAUUAUUUUCUAUUUAAUAUCUUGAUAAUAUUUCUCCAUAAACCCUAACACUAUGGCCGACCAAAUACCUAUAAAUACCCCAUAUUCUACCAAAUUUCGGUAAACUUUUGCUACCUUAUAAAAGCCUUAAACACUUUAUUCUCCUCAGAGAAACUGACUUAGGCAUCGGAGAUCCAUUGACCUAAACCCCCUAACUUGUGGGCGCGUGAGGCUUAGGUCCUUGAUCAAAGGUGUUAAUUGUUUUUCAAGUGCAGUUUCAUCUAGACUGAAGGUGGAAAUUUGCAUCGACAAAUUGGUACUUUUAUUGAGAGCUGAUUCAAAUACUCGAAGAAGCCUCUUGCAUUUGGUUUCUUGAAUUUUCUAUUACAUUGAAUUUUUCACAUGUCGUAUCAAUUAAUUUUCGUAGAAAAGUUUCGUGAUCAAUCCCUAGAGAAAUGAUACAAUGGUAGGAAAUUCAGAAACCACGACGAACGGAACGCCGUACAUACAAGGAUUUGGAUCGGAGAGUGGAGACGAUGAUGUAGCCCUACGACGGAAGUCUUUAAGACUCAACGCGACGGCAGGAGGGGCCCUACCGCCGCGGAGCCGCAUCACCACCACCUUUGUGACCCAACAGCCACGAAAAGGCCACCAGGCCACAGCCUAAGUUCCACCAUCGCUGCCCUCGAAGCGCUGCAACCCACAAAACCCUGGUCAGGAGGCCUAGGUCUAACCAGUGGUCCACGAGCAUGAGGCUCAAGGCUUGGCAACUAUCACAGCAAGCCCAGGGCAGAAGGCUUAGCCCACUGCAGCAACUCAGUUGCCAACUAGUGAGCAUAGGCACUUCAGGCCCAGGCCGAUUCUUAGGGUACCUGGUAACCCAAUGAGGAAUCGAGGCUUAUCCAAGGUAAAUUAGAGCAAUCUUGGACAUGAAGUCUCCUACAACUUUGAAGGAGAUCCAAAUUCUGACUAGACGAGCAGCCGCACUUAAUCGUUUCCUCUCGUUAUUCAUUAACCGAUGUAAGCCAUUCUUCAAGGCAAUCAAAAGAGUGCAGAAUGACAAAUGCGACGAUGAGUAUGAGAAAACAUUUUAGAACCUGAAGUAGUACUUGACAUAACUUCCACUAGUAUCUAAGUCGGAAGUAGCAGAGAACCUGUACAUCUAUCUGGCAGUAUCAGAAGUAGCAGCAAGCUCUGCCCUCAUACGAGAAGAGCUGGGGGCCCAACUGCCUGUAUUAUAUACAUCCAAAGCUCUCCUCGAUGCAGAAACCAGAUACCCGAAGAUUGAAAAACUAAUUUUGGUGCUAGUUGUUGCAUAUCGGAAGCUUAGACCUUACUUUCAAGGGAAUCUGGCCAUUGUCAUCACCCAGUACCCACUACGAUCAGUUUUGCAUAGACCAGAUGCUUCUCAACGAGUGAUGAAGUGUGCGUUGGAACUUGGCCAAUACAGCUCAACCCCACACAUGGACAAAAGCCUAAACAUUGGCAGACUUUACAGCAGAAUUCACCCUAAGCCUGAAGGAUGUAGCAACUCAACCCAAAAGCAUCCCGGAAGCAGCCAAGUACACUGUAGCCGCACUAGCCCCACCUGCAUGAGAUUUUUGUUUUUUGCACGUCGAUGGAUCAUCCAACUACCAGGGAUCGAGAGUAGGCCUAGUUCUUACUACCCCGGACUGUUCGAUGCUCGAGCAGGUGAUCAUUCUAAGCUUCAAGGGGUCAAACAAUGAAGCAGAGUAUGAAGCCCUACUUGCAGGUCUCCGAUUAGCAAAAGACCUAGCGAUGAAGAAGCUCACGAUCUAUUCCGAUUCCCAGCUAGUCACCAACUAAACCUCAAGGGAGUACGUAGCGAGGCAUCCAAGGAUGGCUCGAUACCUCGAGAAGGUACGAGAGCUGCUGGCGACAUUCCAGGCGUACACACUUACUUAGGUUCCACAAGAAAAAAUGCCCAUGUAGACACACUAGCAGGCCUAGGCCCCGCCUUAGACCAUCAGCUCAAGCGCUCUCUCCUAGUCGAGUACUUGGAGAAGUCGACCAUAGAUAAGGAACCAGCAGUCGAGGUGGCGUAGAUCAACACAAAUUUGAGUUGGCAAGAUCCCAUUAUUGACUACUUAGUCAAUGGAACGCUCCCCGCAGACAGACUGAAGUCCAAGAAACUCCAGAUGAAGGCAGCACGCUACUACAUGUGGAACAACAUGCUCGUUCGAAGAUCCUUUUCAGGACCGCAUCUCUGUUGCUUAUCGCCUCCUGACGACCUAAAGAUUCUUAGCUAAAUCUAUGAAGGCGUUUGUGAAAACCAUUCAAGAGGCCACUCCCUGGUGCAAAAAGCUUUUAACUCUGGCUACUACUGACCAACCAUGCAUCAAGACGCCAAAUAGUAUGUACAAAGGUGCAACAGCUGCCAUCACUUCAAGCCCGUGCCUGCACUACUUGCCAGCAAACUUCACCCUCAAACGAGCCCUUGGCCAUUCAUGUAGUGGGCGAUGGACCUGGUAGGACCAAUGCCACCUGCCACUGGGGUUAGAGGCAUGAUGAUCGUAGCAACCGACUACUUCACAAAAUGGGUCGAAGCCGAACCCAUGACUGCAACUAUAAUACCCUGAAAAUUUUAAAAUAUAUGAUUAUAUGGAAAUUUUUUAUCGGAAAGUGAAAAGACGAAAAUGUCUCUCGUUGACUAAACGUAACUUUAUAAGGAUGUAUUUUAUCCUCAUAUACUUUAUCAUAUUUCUAAGUAUAUUUGAAUAGAGGACGACCUUACGAGCGCGUAGGUGCAAAAGAAUCCUAAUUCCGAGUUAGAACGGAAAAGUUACGAGCCUCGGAAGUAGUGAUACUUUUUAGACAUGUGGACUUACUAUUAGUAGGGAGUCUAUAAUUAGUUAGCCUGAAAUGAGAAGGUUUCCACUUCGGGAAACCUGGUGAAGAGGCCCAAAUAACCUAGAAAAACCCCCAUUUGACCUCCUGCGACCUCCCAUAUUUCGAGGUCGAUUUCGGCCAACUCAGGUGGAAUUUUUCGACGACACCACCACCAUCUCCAAGCUCUCACUCCCCUCUACAAAAUCCAACAAGAACCACCUUGAUUAGCCACCAUAUGCGGUGGUGUGAGACCAUAAAAACUGAUGAAAACCAAUAGUGCUCCAGCCACCCUUUUCAUUUUUUCCAGUGAAUCAGCAAAGUGAUGGCCGAUGCCACUACUUGGGUUUUGUAGCCCAUCAUCCUAAGAGUAAAUUCUGACCAGCUUUGAUCCCGUUGGACCACUGUGGGCGACGAAUCGGCACAGGGAAGCUUUAGGCACCCACCGGUUUUAUUAGCGUAAUUGACCCUCUUUCAUCCACUUUGGGACUUCGUGGCAGGUAUAAAAAUUGUUCCUCUUGUUGAGCUCUAUCUUCCUGUAAAUUUUGGUAGAAUUUGGAGUUAGACAAAAAAGUGGGUUUCCGAUCGUCGGAAACCACUACGCACGGUGGCGCGUGGGGGAGAAUAUGUUUAUAUGGAUUUUGGACAGUGGGACAUCCUUGAUGUCCUGAGUCCAUAUCCAAAGUCCGUUUGUUGAAAUUUGAUGGUAUGAUUAAAUAUUAAAUUUUUUUAGAUAAUUGUACCGUUGUACGAUUUAUCGUAAUUGACAACCAUUCAAUCGUUGGAUCGUCACCAAACUUUGAGACGUUAUAGUACAUAAUAUUGAAGGACCUUAGGAACUUACGGAUCGAGAAUCCUCAGUAUGGAUCUUCCCGAAUUGGAUUUGUAAGUUAGUAAAUUAAAACGUCGACCGCCAUUCGAAUGUUACGAUUGGCGGAGAUCCAACCGUUGGAUCGAAAUGAAAUUCUAGUAUGUUGUUCUAGAAGCAUAAUGUGAACUAUGAAUGACUUGAUCCCUUAGUAAGGUAAGUAGACAGUCUAAUGAGAAGGUUACAUGCAACCAUAAUAAAAUACUUGAGAUUAAUCUUUUAGUGAAAUUUGCUAAGAAAAUGAAUUUGGGGCCUAUAUUAGUAAUUAGCUUCCGAAUUAGAAAUUUCGGGUCGUUACAACAACUACCCAGACGGGCAUAAAGCACUUCAUAUGGAAGACCAUCAUCUGUUGCUUCGGCAUCCCGCACUUCAUCGUCACCGAUAAUGGUUUGCAGUUCGUGGGUAAAGACUCGGUGAAGUUUUUCAAAAAAUAUGGCAUCAAGCAGCACAUGUCCAUGCCUCGGUAUUCAUAGGGAAAAGGGUAGGCCGAGUUGUCUAAUAAGACCAUCCUCAAUUGUCUCAAGAAGUCCCUUUUAGACAAGAAGGGCAAGUGGCCAGACGAGCUUCUCGGUGUUCUGUGGGCGUAUCGCACCACCAAAAGAUGAGCAACCUGCGAAACUCCAUUCUCCCUAGCGUAUGGCUUUGAGGUGAUUAUUCCUCCCAACAUCAUGAUGCCAAGCAUCAGCACUAUAUUGCUGAAUUUCAAGCAGAACGAGAAGGAGAUGACCACAAACUUAGACCUGGCAGAGGAAGAGCAUGAGAAGGUUAUCACCUGCAUUGCGGCCUAUCAGCAUCAGCUCAUCUCCAACUACAACAAGGGGAAAAAUUCAGAAGUUUCAGCCAGGAGACCUAUCCUUAGAAAAACCUUCAUCACCGCCCGUCGGGAAGGCUCCAAAAAGAUGGCUCCUAUCUGGGAAAGUUCGUAUAGAAUCAGCUGAGUAGGCAGAAAGGUACCACCAUAAGCAACAAAAAAAUCGACAAGCAAUGGAAUGCCUACAACCUGAUAAAGUACUACGUGUGACCUUUCACCAUUCCUUGGACCCUGUUUAAGAUGAAUAAAGUUUGAAGACUCAAGCAGUUUGAUGAACAAGAUCUUGCAUACCGAGGAUUAUCAGUUGUUAUGCCAUUACUGAUUAUCAACAAAGUUAAUAAAUUUCUCUAUUUUCAAUGAAGAUUAAAGGAAUUAUUCACAAGCCUGAUCGAAUGCAUAAACAAACUGACCAACCAUGUGACAAGAAGAAGGUGCCCUUGCCCUUGCAGACAUGGCAUGUGCUAUCUAAUUAGGAGAUGGUAAACUAAUCCGGAAUGUCCAAACUUGGAUGAGUGGUAUGACUGCUCAGUUUCCCCUAUAUACAACGACUACCUGAGCCUGAUGACUCCCAUAAUUGGCCAAGAUAGUCAUUAUCUUAGAAUAGAUUUAGCCAACUAAAGGAUUCAACUCCGCAGGAUCAUGGGUUUUUAACCGGAAAAGAUGUUAAGUGCAUGACACCUGCCCAUGAAAGAAUUCGUGACUAGAUGAUCUGUCCUCAACGUGCAAGUCUUCAUGAAAGUAGCUUGGUUUUAAAAUGUUGCAAUACUAGUUAAGCGACUUGCGAGAUCAAGCUACCACUCAGAAGGAUAUGGCCUCUAAGGUGCGGUUCUGCUUACACCUUAUGCCUAAAACGCCUCCAAGAGCCAAAGACGACAUCUGAAGUGGUCAUGCGGGUCGUUUGCUUCUGUAAGGAAAACGCCCGAACGACGACCUAACGGCUGGUAGCCCAAGCCAAUCUGUAAGCCGAGACUUACAUCUGUUAUGACUACGUGGACCUGUCUGCUUAUUUAAAAACAGUGUUUCUGAUCGACAGUUUAUGGUUUAAGUUUUGUAGGAAAUAAAGCUGAAGUACAACUAUAGUGGCUAUGUGAACUUCCUCUGCUUUCUACGAGAAGCAAGUGUCCGACCGCCAACCCUAUAAGUUAAAAACUUCGCAAAACGCCCCAGGAGGGCCAAAGCUCAAAAAGCCACUAAAAUCGAAGUACGACUGUAGCAGUUACAAGGACUUCAUCUACUUUCUACGAGAAACAAGUGUCUGACCGCUAGCUCUAUAACUUAAAAACUUUGCAACACGCCCCGAAAGGGCCGAAGUUCAUGAAGCCAUUAAAGUCGAGAUUCACGACUAUAGUAGCUACACGGACUUGCCUGCUUCCUACAGAGACAACGAGUUUGGCCACCGGCUUUAUAAGUUAAAAGUCUUGCACCUUUUUUCCUUUUGCAGACAAAGCUCUAGAAGCCCCAAAGCCAAAACUGAAGCCUAAAGACGACGAGGGAUCGACUGCUCUAUCGAAGUAGUUAACACAACCGCCCAUCUUACGACAAAGUUUUACAGGUCGCCUCAAGUAGGCAAGUCUCUUGAAGCCUAGAAGCCGAAACUGAAACCUAAGUAAUGACGUGGGAUCGAUUGCUUCAUUGAAGCAGCUCACCCAGCCGCCUAUCUUAUGGUAAAGUAGAUGAACUGGAGAAAUGGAGAAAGUCUCGAAGUCAUUCUCGAAAAACUCAUAAUCCGACGGCCUGCCUUGAAGAUGGUCUACAUAGCUAAACUUGUAGAAAUCAGCCUGACAAGAUGCAAGCGCCACUUCGUGACCAACCUUCUCAUUCUUUAGCUGCACAUUCUCUUCAAUAAGCCUAGUGUGAGCACCCUACAACUUAUCCAGUUCCUUUUUCAGGUUCUCGCUAGCAGACAACACACUUUGCAGAUCCACUUCCUUAGACUCAAACUUAUUGGCAACAUCCUUGAGACAAGACAUUUCAGCAUGCAUGAAGACAAACUCCCUGUCCUUGGCAAAACAAGUGGAUCAUAGCUUAGAGUUGACACACUCAAGGUCCUUGACCACCAGAAAAACACGAUUGACUUACUUUUUUGCAACUUCCAAGAUUGCAUGAGUCGCACUAAGCUUAGCCUUCAAAUGGGUGACCUCCUGAUGCGCGGUCUCCAGUUGCAUAGAAGUGGGGGUAGAGACAUUAGACCUCUUCAAAACACCACUUCGGCCUCCUUAGCACACUUGACAGUAUCCUAAUCAACAUGCAUAGACUCAGCUGCCAGGAUCAAAGUCUUAUGCAUCGUGGCAAUCUGGGAGGACCUCAUCGAGUAGUUGGGACGCUUCGCAAAAGAGUUUGACUGGAUGACAACUUUCUCGACACUGUCAACGAACUUGGCACAUGCAUUAAUGUCCUCAAGCAGGUCAGCCUUUAGAAGCGCACAAACCUCGGGAAACUUUCCAGCCUCAAACUUUGUUGACCUCUCACAACUGCCUGUGUGAGCAUAUUUCCUUAUCUCAGCAGACACAAUCACAGCAGAGGGAAGAACAGGCCCAAGCGACACCUUAGCAGCAUAAUCCACCUUUCUGCUCUUCAUAAUGACGAGCCUUUCAGAAGCUAAACCGGACUUAGCUCCCGAUGUGCGCUUCGACAUAAACCCAGACACCGGGGCACCACCGAACCUUUUCACUAGGCAAUCUUCUCAGUAAUGGUUGUGGCCACCUUCAGAGAAGCAGGUUUCAUAGGCUCAGACUCAACGAAAUUUUUUGUCCGGGAGGUCAGAUUAAUGAUAAGCUUCUCAGUAGCAAACGAGCUUGUGAGAGCAGCAAAAGAAGUCAUUGGCUUCUUCUCGGCCGAAGGCUCAUGAGCAGGUGAAAAAGAUUUCUUCUUUCCACCCUCAUUGGCAACAGGCUCUACAACAGUGAUCAGAUGAGCAAACGCUUCAUCAUUUAUUUGUUUUAUCUCUUCAUUUGGAGGCAGCCUACUUUUCUCCCAACGAAGAAGGCUGAGCAACCAACGCCACUCACGGUACUUAGCAGGAAUGCCCAAGGCGAUAUGCACUUUCUUCAUAUCUGCUGAAGUUCUUGGAGUUGAGCCAAGAAUGAUCAAUAAACUAAAGUCAUAUAGCUGCUCAACAAAAAUUCAAGCAGGCCAAGGAUGAAGCAAUUCACUUACCACUGAUAAAGACAGUCUGAACGUGCAACUCAAGAGAAGAGUCAACCUCCUAAUCUCCAUUUACCUCCAAGGUGUCCCUCACCCACUCGUGAUCACCUUUGCAGGGAGCAUCAAGCAACCUAUGGCGAGAUCUCAGCUACCCCACGCUUUCUCUGUGGCUGAUUUCAAAGAAGUACCAGAACUCACUUAUGGUCAAGCUAAGAUCAAAGAACCUAAUUAAGUUUAAGAACCCCACUAUUGCACGAAUUGCAUUUGAGGAACACUGAGCAGACGCGCAUCUCAUGGAGCAGAUCACCUCCUGGAAAAGACGUGGCAUAGGAAAAGUAAAUCCCAACACGAAGCAAUACGGAUGGAAUUUGAUAGCCCUCUUCCUAGUAGUGGCAUAUUCGCCGCACGGUUCAUGGUCGCUAUCAUCAUUCACCUGCUUGACGCAAACCCUAGAUGGAAUCUCAUGCUUGUACGCCUUAAGAAAAUCCCGAAACAGCUCAUCAAAAUUAAUCUUGACAUGCGCAGCCUUGAAAUAGCCCACCUUGCUGGAAGAACCACCUUGACUGUACAAAGGUGGAUGAUACUCGUCCCUUUUGUGAUCGAAGGAAGACAUCUUAAAGUCCCUGUAAAAAGUAUGAAGAAAACUAUUUAGAAGGUAACUCGCGAGAAAAGAAAAAAAAAUAUAAAAAUAAAAAGGACCAUAGAGCCUAGCGCCCUAGCGCUAGGUCCCACGACCCAGCUAAUCCACACGGCCAAGCCACAAAAUGGCCCAACCCUCAGUCUCUUUCUUCAACACGUGGCCCAAACCGCUCCAGCCCAAGAUGGAAGGAGGCCCACGCUUCCCUAAUCUCUUCCUCUUUCGAGUGCCCAGCACUCCAAGAUAGGCCCAGGCCUCUCGACCCAAGCCACCAAGACCCAAAAGCUGGCCCGAGUUGGUCUCUCCUACUCUCUUACCUCAUGCCCACACGGGCCCAAUAGCCCACGGCCCAGUCCACUUGCGAGUGAGGUGAGUGCCUCGCGCUUCUUUCCCUCUUUCUUACUCUCUAGCGGGCCCGGGCCUAGCAUUGCGCCCCUGCACCCUCAGCCUUUUUCAAGCCAUCGUUUGGCCCACACCAACCAUGCACCAAGCCUACCUCGCGCCACCAGCACCUUGGCCCAAGCCGAGUCGACCCCAUGCCACGUUGGCUACUGUGCAUAACAGCCUCGUGGCACCCUUGCCACGUGUUUCACACCUCCUUGGCCCCUGAUUAGGCAAUUUUUCAAGUCCCAAGACUCCCAAAAAAAUUCAAGAAGAAAAAAAUUCAAAUUUUUCUUACCGUGGAACGACACGGAGAAGAAGAACUACAACGAGAGACGACUCUUUGCAAGGGCAAUGGAAGAAGAAAGCUAAGGGAGGGGGAAUAACAUUUCCUCUAACUUCUCUUCCUUGUUAGAAUAAUGAUUGUUCUCCAAAUUUAUUUAAUCCCCUGCUUAUGGAAGAAUUCAAUAGGUAUUGGGGACAAUUGGUUUUCUUUUCCUUGAAGAAGUCAAUCUCUAAAUCAAGGAAAAAGAUCAAGAUCAAAUUGGGAAACAACUCUAGAAGCCUAUGCAGCUUGGGAUUUCUACACCUACUGCCCUUUUCCGACAUGCAGCCCAGCAGGUGUAGGGGCAUUUGUGGAGCCUAAAAUAAUCCCAAAAAUUCUAGAGGUGGCACGUAGGUUUUUGCUCAAGAAAGACAAAAUUGCCCUCAACAAAUGGGCAAGCUUCUCAGAUGCUCACACCCCUGAAGGUCUCAUUAGCUAAAUACGACCGCCCACAGCUCACCUGUCAUUGGCAAGGAAAAGUCAAAGCAUUAAAGAUAAUGAUUAAUUACCCAAAUCCUAUCUUUAAUACAUUCCUAAUUGAAAAUUGACUCCAAUCAAGUAAGUAAUCCUAAUUUAAAUCAAUUAGGGAUAAUUACUCCAUUAUCUCAAGAUAUUAUUUCCUAUUUAAUAUCUUUAGAAUAUUUCUCCAUAAACCCUAACACUAUGGCCGGCCCAAUACCUAUAAAUACCUCAUAUUCUACCAAAUUUUGGUAAACUUUUGCUACCCUAUAAAAUGCCCUAAACACUUUAUUCUCCUCAGAGAAACUGGCAUAGGCAUUGGAGAUCCAUUGGCCUAACCGCCACCCUACCUCGUGGGCGCAUGAGGCUUAGGUCUUUGAUCAAAGGUUUUAAUUGUUAAUUUGCAUCGACAAAUUGGUGCUUCAUUGAGAGCUGAUUCAUAUACUCGAAAAAGACUCUUGCAUUUGGUUUCUUGAAUUUUCUGUUACGUUGAAUUUCUCACACGUCAUAGGGGACAGCCUAUAAACACUUUUAUUUUUAAUUUUUAAUUUUUUAAUAUUUAUGUGGGCACCUAUGACACGUGGCGCCUAGUCACUGUCCACGUGAGUGCCACGUCACCAAUUAACGGCUAAUUUAACAGCAAACUUAACGGAUGUAUGAAAGUGUCCCAAAAUUAUGACUUUAUGUACAACUCUGGGAUGAAAAAAAACGUCAUGUGUUAAAUGUUGAAAAUCAAGAAACUUCAGGGUAGUAAACUGAGAUUUACCCUAAAGGUAAAUAUAUAGGGCUACACAACGUACUAACAAAUAUGAAAUAUAGUAAAGAAUUAGAAUAGGACUAUAUAAUGUGUAAUAAGUUAGGUCAUCUCCAACCAAAAAGACUAAACAUAGUCCCAUCCAGAAUUAUAGUCUUGCAAAAAAAAAAUUUAUUUAAAAUAAAUAGUGUUAGGUCAUUUCACAUACCAUCUCCAAGCGAAAGGGCUAAACAUAACCUCCUCACUAAUUUAUUAGUUUUAAGUUUAUACUUUAAAUUUAUUAGUUAAUUUAAUUAAACUAUCAUUGAUUGUUUUCAAAUUUAACUGUUAAACUUAAAUAAAUUAUUACAAAUAAGGAGCUGGGCCCUAAAAAAGGGCUAAGAGGGACUACAUUUGGCCAACAUGAUGCCCCCUUGGCUAAAUAGUGGUUUGGUGGGUUCUAGAGAAUUAUAGCCCCAACCAUUGGUUGGAGAUGAGUUUUUUAGCAAAUCAGACCAUUUUAAAAUGUAACUCAAAACGUAACAAAAGGAAUAGAUUCAAACUGAUUGUGUGCUAAGAAAAUGACUCCUAUCAAGUUGAAGAGAAAAUUUUCAAGUAGCUGGUAGCUCCACAUAAGAUUGAUAGCUAGUGUACCCGAGCAACAAGAGAUGGACACAUGACUUUUAACAUUUUUUCUUUAAAUACAUAUGAACACGUAUUCCAAAACCAAGAAAACUUCAGUCAAAUGUCAAGCAUUCAUCACCUAUUUCCUUUCCACUAUCCAUGGCAUCGUCGGACCCACCCCAAAUCCCGACGACAUCAUCGGAAUACAAAGCCUUGCCGACUUCUUCCUCUUCACCUGCAUCACUAGACACCCUGGACCCGAACGCGACAACCGAUCGACGGCUCCGGGAUCUGAAUUAGAGAAACUCUGUCAAACUGCUGCCGACGAUGAAUACCUGUCUAUCCUCGGUUUUGUCCUUGCUCCGAUGGACUUCCACUGCCCUUUUAUGGAGAUCCAAUCAGUUGAGAAAUUAAAGGAAAAAAAUUGCAUUUUCUUAAAAAACUCACUGCAAUCUGCUGCCAUGUAUUCUUCUUAAAGAUCAAAACAUUUAUACUAUGCAUAAAUUCAUGAAUGUUUGAAAUUGUGAAAAACCCAGCUAAAAAAAAUUAAAAAAUUCGAGCAAAAUGCUAAAGGGAAUUGAGAAGAUCUACUCAGAGGCCAUGAUACCCGUUAUCUUCUCAGUCAUGGAGCCCACCGUUUUGGAAGUCACAGAAAUUGUUUUAAUUGAAAAAGAAAGCAAGUCACGUGCCUGCCUGUAAUUGGCUUGGUACUCCAAGUCAGGUUGGGUUCCCAGAGUCCAGAAAAAUUUCAGUGAAUUAAGUGGAGAACUGGCAUGAUAUUGGUUCUUUUUUUAUGCCUAGAAUUUAAGGAUUUUAUAUAUUUCAAAGGGCAUUGGUAUUAAUUAGUUAGGGAUAUAAUAAAUACACAUUUUUAGCCUUUUUAACACCCCUAUUUAAUCAUGGGCGUUGUUAAUGUAUAAAAUUCGAGUAAUGUUAUUCAUACCAUGUUUUUAUACCAUAUUUCUAUACCACCUUAGGUGGCAUCUUAUGUGGAUAACCACAUCAUUUGAAAAAUUUGCAAAACCUAAGGAAAGGAAGGAGAAAGACUCAUCGUAUAUCACAAUCAUCAUUUAAUUAACUAGUUUUUCUUAAUUAUUAGUUCAUUAAAUAAUGAGCUAAAUUUAAAAAUCUGAUUAAUUCAAAUGAUGUGGCUAUCCACAUCAAAUGCCACCUAAGGUGGUAUGAAAAGGUGGUACAAAAACAUGAUAUGAAUAGUAUUACUCAUAAAAUUCACUUCCUUUUAUUAGUUAUUGUAUUUUUAUUAGGUUAAUUUCCUACCACUAGUGGGGAGUUGGAAAUGGAUGCAGACAUGGAAGGCAUAUUACUGGAUGUGCACCAUAUGGCUAGACAGUUGGAGUGUAUCGAGUUCUCUUACUGUUGAGAAUGAAUCUCACAUUGAUGAGAGGAAGGAUCUUGCAUGUGCUUAUAAGUAGUUGGACUAUUCCUCCUAUUGCUAAUUGGUUUUAUGAUAUGAUGUAUUAUAAACUAGCACUCAAAUUAAACCCUCUUAUUGACAAUUGUAGUACAGAUGUAAGUAGGGAUCGUUCUAGGCCAGAGAUUAGGAGGGAUUGCUAAUCUACUUAAUACUGACUCAAAAACACAAAACUAGGCUUGAAAACACUUAACUAGACUCAAAGAACUCGAAACAAACUAAAGAGACUCAAAACAACACAAAAUAAUCAAAUAGACUCAAACUAGACACUAAAGGGUGAUUUGAACGAAAAUUAAUUUUAACUUGACUUAAAACACUUAAAAACACAAGUUUGGAUAGAUUCUAACUAAUUUGACACAACAAAGUAAAGGGGAUUAGAUUUUUGACGAAUUUAAACUAAAGACAAGUAGAUUAAAGACUUAAACAAGUUUGGCAUGAAAUUGGGGGAAAUUAUGGGUGAUUGGCUAGCUAGAGGGUUCUUCUCCACACAUGACACACUUGCAUACAAAUCGAUUUCUAGUUGCUUUUCCAAUAAACCAUGAACCUCAACGCCCCAGAUUAACCAUGAACAACACUAAUUAACCCUCAGAUUUUUCUUAAGUCAUUGAAUUGGAUGGAUAACGCAUCAGCAACCAAAUUAUUCUUCAAUAGUUCCCUACAUGAACAACAUAAUAGAGAUACAAUCAAAGAUCAUUAAGUUUUGUGAAAAUCAUAAGCGUUGACAAGACAUUCGUAACUAUGAACAACAUGAUUCUCCUGCCAGGAAUUUACUUAACACGAUUGUGACUAGCAACCUCUACUACUUAUGAAUAUAAGUUCAUAACAAUUAGGUAAAACUCCCUUAUAUUCUAGCAUCAAAUUCAUGCAUGCAAACUAAGUAUGCAUCCUUAAUCAACAAACAAGAAUAAGUUCUGAAUCAAACAGUUAAAUAAAUUGCAUUCAUGAUUUAUGAAAUCACAACUGGAAGUAAUCAAUUCAUAUUGCAAAUGUGUUCAUGGCUUUGAAUUCUCCUCUAGCUAAAACGAGUUUAGCUCCUCAUGUUCACAAUUAAACAAAGAUAACUUAAAUUAAACAUUGAAAACAAAAGAUGGAUUACACCUAAAAACGUUUCAGCAAUCCAACAAUCUUGAAUGGCAGGCACGACUCUAAGCUAUCCUCUCAUUCCUUGCAAAAUUGUGGCACAAGGGUGUGAAUGAAUGGUUCUGUGGAUUGGAUGAUUGGUGUGAACUAUGAUAAAGGAUGGGGGGUUGGUCCUGAAUGGUGCGGCACAAUGUUAUAUUUAAAGGGAAAGAUAGCUAAAAUCCUAAUUAAUUUUGGAGACAGAUUUGUACACCAAAUCCUCAAAGAAGAAGGGUAAUUAAAUGUCAGAAUUCAAGGGAGAAAGGGAAAGAAGAUAUGCGGCAGGAUCCUAGAGGGAAAGGGACAAGGCUUGCACGGCAAGGAAGGGUUUCUAGAAGGGGAGAUGCGGCACCUUUUAAGAUUAGGGAAAAGACCUUCUAGAAGCCUGAUUUAGGUUUCCCAAUGUCAUUUAGAUUUCCCCCUUUCAGCUGGAAAUUAGGAAAAGCUAAGGUUUGGAUAAUGUUUCCUUUUUCUUGCUAAUUCCUUGAUUUCUUUUGUCUUGAAUUUAUUUCCUUCAUUUCCUUGCUCAUUCCUAGCCUCCUUUGAACUUCAAAUUCGUCCAUCCACCUUGCUCCAAGCAUGUGUUAUCCAUUCCAAGCCCAAAACUACUCCAAAAUGCUCCAAAUUGCACUUUCUUGCUACUUUAGCCCUUUGGACCUACAAACACACGAAAAUAGCUUAAAAUACUAAAAUAACUAGGAACUAACAACAUAAAUGCAAGAAAACAAGCUAACUAAGUCGCAAAAAUAUGCUCCUAUCAUGAUAGAACCCCGAUUUCUUCAUGGUUUCAGAGCAAAUUGUCCCACGUGUGAAGUCUAACGGCCACACGUGCUAUACGUCGCCUGAGUUGUGUUGUACACGUGUGAAGCCUAACAACCACACAUGCUCCACGUCAAUGAGUUGUGUUGUUCACAUAUUAGACUUGGAAAUUUAUCACACGUGAGGCGACGCAUUGAGAAUGAAACCCACACUGAUGAGAAGAGAGACCUUACAUGUGCUUAUAAGUAGUUGGGCUAUUUCCCAUAUUGCCAAUUGAUUUAUGGUGGAACCCCAACUUCUUCACUUACAAUUCACGUAAUCGAGUUCUCUUGCUCAAGAUGUAAACAUUUUAAUAAAACUUAAUAAAAUUCCGUCGUUUGACAAAAAAGCUCUUUUUAAAUGUUUUGUAAUUUGAUAGAGUGAGAAGUUUUCUUCUUUACUUAUUUCUCUUUACUCAAAAUCCAUAAGAAUUAACAAAGCCAUAUACUCACCCUAAAAAAAAUUAAAAAAAUGCAUAGCCAUAUACUCGAGGAGAAGAAGUCAACAGCAAAGGAAAUUAUCAAUUUUGAAGAUUUCUUUCAUUUUCUAGAUCCGCAGCACAUUACGCCAAAGUACGAGCUAGCAUUGUACACACCCCAUAAGUCCACCCAUACCACCGAGAUAUUUUUAAUGUACCUGAAGCACAAGUUGGUAUCUCAUGUGUAUCAUAAUAUAAGUGGAGAGAUAAUCUAUUUUUCAAUGUCUUUCUACUUGUAUUAUGACACAUAGUGUAUUAGUUUGUGUUCUCGGUACAUUGAAAAAUUUCUCCGUAGUACCAUAGCCAGACUCACAGCAGAGAGUGUAUAUAUAUGAGCUACCAUUGAAGACUUCCGCCUAAGUGGGGAAGCAUCAAUUGUUUGGUUUUCAUUCCAAGUCUUAUUUACAUUAAGCCAAAGAAUGUUUCAAAAUCCCGGAAUUUAGAUGGGACCACGAAUUCAUUACAUAAAUGGACUAAACACGCAAAACACUACGUACAAAUUCUUCAAACCAUAUGGAAUUUCCAAGCUAUUGACUAUUACUCAUAUGAAAGCAUAAUUCAUCACCUUAUUAUUUGAAUUAAACAAAAUAAUUCUUAUAUUCAGAUGUGAAAUUCAAAGUGUGAUCCUUUUCCCAUAAAUGUUGACUUACCAGUUAUAAAAAGUCAAUCACGAUGGGAUAGACUCGUUCGUUCCUCGUCAAGAGGCCGGGCCGACGCGUCAAAGACUCCAUGCCAACAAGUCUUUAAUUUGUUGCUCUUUCUUUACUCUUGAGCUUUGGCCUUCUUUAUUUAUAGGCUUCAGUUCUUGGUAUAUCCUACAACAAUAACACAAUCCGGUAGAAAGACAAAGAGAGAUGGAGAGCAAGGUGGUGAUUGUUUUCGGUGUGAUUGUGGCAGUGUUGUUGCACAGUGUGGCAGCGCAGACAGUACAUGUGGUCGGAGGUAGCAUAGGUUGGACCAUCCCUCAAUCCGGUGCACAAGAGUAUGUGUUGAGUUUUGGUUUCAAUAUUUGUUGUAUAUUUCAUUAUGAAGAUUACAAGAGAGUGAAGGCAACUCUUAUAGAGAGCCAAAAGAAAGCUACAAUAGAUUGUAGGAUAACUACACAAACACAAUCUCUAAAAUCUGCCCUAACAAGUGGAAAAGCAAAAACCAAAUUACAAGUAAAGAAGCUUUUACAAGCAACUAAGAAAGGUUGAUGUAAGGUGAAUAACAAGCUAUGGAAAGUGACUGGUGAAUGACAAGCUAUGGAAAGUGACUUUAGCCUAUGACUUAGCUAAAGUGAGGAUGACAACUCAUACAAACAACUCAUCCAUACAAAACCGGUUUCAAUACACCCCCUCAAGCUGGAUCAAGGGGAUUGAUUGAUCCAAGUUUGCACAACAAACGUUGAAACUGAGUAGAGUCUAGUGCUUUUGUGAAUAAAUCAGUAAGUUGAUCGUGGCUGCGUGUGAACACGGUGUCUAUCACCUUGGAUUGAACCUGAGCACGAAUAUAAUGGCAGUCAACUUCAAUAUGUUUGGUCCUUUCAUGGAAUAUUGGAUUGGAGGCAAUGUGCAUGGCAGCUUGGUUAUCACAAUACAAGGACAUAGGUGCCAUGCUUGUGAAUCUGAGCUCGGAAAGAAGACCUUUCAACCAUAUGAGUUCACAUGUUGUUGCUGCUAUAGCCCUAUACUCAGCUUCAACACUAGAUCGAGCAAUAAUAGUUUGUUUCUUGCUCUUCCAAGUGACAAGGUUCUCUCUAACAAAUGUGCAAAAACCUAUUGUGGAUUUUCGAUCAAGGGCAUUUCCAGCCCAGUCAUCCAUUGUUCCUCAUAAUUAUCCCCCUUCCUACUAAGCCCUUAAGAUAUCGAAGUAUUCUCUUGACGAUUUCCCAGUGAACUAGAGUAGGAGAGUGCAUGAACUGACUGGCUAGGCUAACUGAAUAUGAGAUAUCAGGCCUAGUAAUGGUGAGAUAAAUAAGUUUCCCAACCAUUCGCUGAUAAACACUAGGGUCCGAAAGAGGUUCACCUUUUCCAUGCCAUUGAAGUUUGCUAGCUAGGGGUGUCCGAGCUGGUUUACAUUCCAUCAUGUUAGCUUCAUCUAGAAGAUCAAGAACAUACUUUCUUUGAUUCAAGAACAAUCCCUUUGAAGAGGUAGCCACCUUAAUUCCAAGAAAGUAUUUCAAGGGCCCCAAGUCUUUAAUGGAAAUUUUUUGGUGAAGUGACUGCUUAAGCGUCUUGAUUUCACUUAUAUUGUCACCUGUAAUAAUUAGGUCGUCAACAUAUAUAAGCACAACCAAUUUGCCAGCAAUACUACUUCGAACAAAUAAAGAAGAGUCAACAUGACUCCUUUUGAACCCUGCAGCUUCAAGGACUGAACUAAGCUCUGAAUACCAAGCUCGAGGGGACUGUUUGAGACCAUAUAUGGCUUUGUGAAGUCUGCAGACCUUGUUGGGUUCAUUUUCUCUUGGGUGACCAGGAGGCAACUUCAUGUACACUUCUUCUUUAAGAUCCUCAUGAAGAAAUGCAUUCUUCACAUCCAUUUGGAAUAAGGGCCAUGCAUUAUUGACUGCCACAGACAACAAUACCCUCACUGUGUUCAUUUUGGCAACAGGAGCAAAGGUCUCCUUAUAGUCAAUGCCAUAGGUUUGAGUAAAGCCUUGAGCUACUAACCGUGCUUUGUGUCUUUCAAUGCUUCCAUUGGAGUUGAAUUUGGUCUUAUAUAUCCACCUACUUCCCACGAUCUUCUUGCCAUUUGGAAGAUCCACCACACUCCAUGUCUGGUUAUCAUUAAGAGCUUGAAGCUCUUUAGUCAUAGCAUCUUGCCACUCAGGCAUGCAUGUGGCUUCAUGAAAAUUCCUUGCUUCGAAAGUGUGAGACAAUUUGUUAAGGAAAGAAGUAUGAGAAUAUGAGAAUCUGUGAUAAGAAAUGGCUGCAGAGAUAUGAUGCCUUGCAGUGUAAGUAACAUACUUUUGUAACCUCACUGGUGGAUGUCUAUCUCGUGUAGGAUUUCUUCUUGGUGCACUUAUAGCUUGCUGAUUUGGUUGAGCUUCUGAUGGUCCAAAGGAGCUUGGCACUGCAUCAAUUACACUCUCAGUGAGUUGAGAAUUAUUAGUGCUGAUAUGAGCAGGAGUGACUUCAUGAAUUUCUGCUGGAAUAGGUAGUGGAAAUAGGUCCAUAAGAUCUUCCAUAUUAACAUUAGUCUCCAACCCUUUGUGGAAAUAAGGUGAAUAUUCAUCAAAUCGCACAUCUCUAGAGACUGCUAGCUUCCCCGUGUUAGGGUUGUACACUUUGUAACCCUUUUGAGAACUGGUAUAUCCCAUAAACACACAUUUGGCAGCUCGACGGUCGAGUUUGUCACGAUGGAGAGCUUGAAUGUGCACAUAACAAGUACAACUAAAGGUCCUGAGGUGAGACAAGUUUAUAAGCCUGCCCUUCAUGACUUCAAAAUGAGAUUUAGUAUUCAACACCCGAGUUGGUAGUCUAUUAAUGAUGUACGUGGCAGUGAGUAGGGCUUGAGACCAAAAUUUCUUAGGAACAUUCAUUUGGAUCAUAAAUGAUCAAGUCUUCUCCAAUAAGUCUUGAUUCUUUCUCUCUACCACACCAUUUUGUUGUGGUGUACCAACACAGCUAGUUUGAUGCAAAAUGCCAUGAUUGCUCAAGUAAUUACUCAUGUUAUUAGAAGUGUACUCAGUACCAUUAUCUGAUCUUAACAUAUAUAACUUAGAUGAAAAUUGAUUGGUGAUUAGAUUGUGAAAGUCCUUAAAAGCAUCAAACAAAUCACUUUUAAGUUUUAAAGGAUACAACCAGGUUACUCUAGAAUAGUCAUCAAUAAAUGUAACAUAAUAUAUAUACCCAUCAAAGGAUUCUACACGAGAAGGACCCCAAAUAUCAGAGUGAACAAGCUAAAAAAGUUUACUAGUUCUAGAAUUAGAGGAAACAAAAGGAAGUCUAAUGGCUUUUGACAUUUGACAAGUUUCACACUCUAGUGUGUUUUUACAAAAAAAAGGGAAACAACUUGGUCAUCACAUGUUCUGAGGGAUGGGCAAGGCGUUGAUGUCAUAGUUGGUGUUCCUGAACUUGACUUAAGUUGACACUGAGCUUUUUGAAAAAUUGGACUCCUUUGAGAGAUAGUAGAGUCCAUUCAAGAAGAACCCUUCACCAAUCUUUUUCUGAGUAACUCGGUCCUGAAACACAACAGUGUGAGGGGAAAAUAUGGCAAGACGGUCUAAGGUUUUUGUGAUUUUUCCUAUUGACAAGAGUUGAAAAGGAAAAGAAGGUACAUAGAGAGCAGUGGAAUCAGUAUGCUCACUUAGCAAUCUAAUCUUUCCGUUCCCUAGAAUAGGUUCCUCUUUCCCAUUUGCAAUAGAUACAUGAAUUAGAUCAAUAGUUCUUUGAAAAUUGUGGAAACUAGAGGGUUUAUUAGUUAUAUGAUCAGUGGCACUGGAGUCAAUAAUCCAAAAAUCAUGUGUAACAUUUGCAUUAAGAGCAGUGGAAAUGGCAUUGAUAAUACCUGGAAUAUUGCCUUUCGAUGUGUUCUCCGAGUCAUCCAAGAAUCCAGCAAAUUUCCCUAGCAUUGCAGUAGGGUUUUCAGGUGUCAUUUCAUCAGGUUCAGUGCUUCCUUGCUUCUUUUGAAGAAAAACAACAAACUCGUUGAUCAAGGACACAUGAUUUGUUGAGAAAUUGGCCAUCCCAUCAGUUGAGGAACAAGCUGAAUGAAAUGCUUUUGGAGUGACUCCACCCUUCCCAUCUUUGAUCAUCCUGCCUUCCCUAUCAAACUUAGGCUUUAACUCCAGAUGAAGAAUCCAACAUUUUUCUCUCAAAUGUCACUUCAUGUCGCAAUAAGAACAUUUCCAGCCUGCUUUCUUGCCAAGCACCUUAUCACCAGUUGCUUUGUGAUUUGUCGUGAAAACCCUAGCUUCAGAGUUGGAUUUGGGCUCAACGUUCAUCACUCUUUUUCGAGUUUCCUCUAUCUGGACUGCAUGACACACACUGGUAAAAGAGGGCAGCUCUUGAGUCAUUAACAAGUGACUACGCAGGUCUUCAUACUCCGCUCCCAAGCUUGCUAAGAGUUGAAACACCUUGUCUUCAUCAGCCCUCUUCAGUAGCACAGUGGAAUCAGUUGUGUGUGGACGAUACAUAUCGAGUUCAUUCCACAUGGAUUUCAUACUUCCAAGGUGUUGAACAUAGGAGUGAUCACCUUGCUUUAAACUAGCCACACUCUUCUUCAGUUGAAAGAUGCGAACUGAGUUGUUUUGGCUGCCAUACAUGUCUUUGACAGACUCCCAUAGGAGAAGGGAAGACUCUGAGUAACUGAAAAGCUCAGACAGUUUUGGCCCUAUGGAGUUAAGUAAUCAGGACAUGACCAGCUGAUCAAUAGCAUGCCAUGCAUCAUAAGUUGGUGAAGUGGAUUCUGGGGGCUCAGAGCUUCCAUUGAUAAACCCUAGCUUUAAUCUUCCUCCUAGAGCAAGUGACACAGCUCUUGACCAAGGAAGGUAGUUGAACUCGUUCAGUAUCACCGAGCAGAGUCGUUAAUUUGGAUUGUUCUUAACCCUUUGGGUUAAGUUUGGGGAGGAGGAUGAGGCACUGUCGGCACUAGACACAUUUUCUUCUGCCAUCUCUAUCGAUGAUGAGCAAAUGAAGAAGUAAAAAAAAUGAACAGAGUCAUGACCCUAUAGUUCCUGCUCUGAUACCAUAUUGAGUUUUGGUUUCAAUAUUUGUUUGUAGGAUAACUACACAAACACAAUCCCUAAAAUCUGUCCUAACAAGUGGAAAAGCAAAAACCAAAUUACAAGUAAAAAAGCUUUUACAAGCAACUAAGAAAGGUUGAUGUAAGGUGAAUGACAAGCUAUGGAAAUUGACUGGUGAAUGACAAGCUAUGAAAAGUGACUUUAGCCUAUGACUUAGCUAAGGUGAGGAUGACAACUCAUACAUACAACCCAUCCAUACAAACCGGUUUCAAUAGUAUGUCACUUGGGCUGCAAGCAACAAGUUCAUGGUUGGCGAUACUCUAAGUAAGCUUCCCAUCUCUUCUAAUUUCCAUCGUCUUCUUUAUUAAGUUAAUAACUUCGUGAACUCAUUAUUGAACUCAUGGUUUGCGAGUUUGUUGUCCCUAAUUUGUGUCUUCUUUUAUGUCUGCAUUCUAAUUUUUUUACAUGUGUCUCUCAACUUAAUUCCAUAUUUAACAAGCAGCAAACAACCAUCUAAACUCCAACGAUAAAUUUUUCAUUAUGACCGGAAUACGGGUUGUACACCACGUAUAUUUAUAUAAGUGGUCGAAAAUUUUAUAUUUUAAGUUAAUAAUUUUUUAACAUACAUAUCAUACCAUUUUUAUAGUGAAACAUGGUGUAUCAUCCCAUGUUCUUGUUAUAUCUCAAACUCCAACGCCAAAACAUGUCGACAACCACCCACACCAAUCAGACCAUCAUGUCAGCGACGCUGCUCCUUAUAGCUGUCAAAAAAUAAAAAUUUUCUAUUUCUCUCGAUCCUUCUACAUAUAUAGUGAAUCCACGAUUAUUACCAUUCAACAAGAUCACAUGAUUAUAAUUAUCAAAUGGAAUUUCAAUUAAUUUCCGUUAGCCUUGAAGUUAUUAAGUAACUAUCCAUCACUCAAGUUUUCUUACAUUUGAUGUUUCUUAAAUAUUUUCCAGUUUCUAACUUCGCCACAAACGCACACGAUGUACAAGAAGUACCCAAAGCAUCAUUCGACUCGUGUAGUUCGGAAAACCCAGUUAGCACAGCUAUCACAACUGGCCCAGCAAACAUCACUCCCACCUCUUCUAGCGACCACUACUACAUUUGCACUUAUGGCCGUCAUUGCCAGUCGGGCCAGAAGCUAGCCAUCACCGUCUCAGCUGCUUCCCCAGGCGCAUCACCUUCUGUGCCACCACCGCCCUCUACCAGUAACACCCCUCCAACUACCCCUUCCCCCACAUCAAAUGACCC